RNAcentral lists this unclassified non-coding RNA (1332 nucleotides) under Hevea brasiliensis (rubber tree). The record is from RNAcentral. Lineage: Eukaryota; Viridiplantae; Streptophyta; Magnoliopsida; Malpighiales; Euphorbiaceae.
UGAUCUUGAUUUGAAUAGAGUGGAGGAGCCCAGUGAUACGGGUAAUCAUUUAACAAGUAAUAGUCAUAGGAUGGAUGUGCAUCUUCAGGCAGUCAAAUCCUCAUCGGUAGCUGUUCUUAAUGGAGAGUCGAGUGUCCACAGGGAUUUUGAUUUGAAUGCUGGGCCGCUUGUGGAUGAGGGGAGUUCCGAACCAUCCCCAUUUGGCCAAUCUACAAGGAAUAAUACACUACCCCAGUCAUCUGUUUCUGGCCUUAGAUUAAACAGCACCGAAAUGGGGAACUUCUCUUCAUGGUUUCCUCAGGGGAAUCCCUACCCAGCUGUUGCCAUUCAGUCUAUGUUACCUGAUAGAGGGGAACAGUCUUUUUCAAUGGUCACCCCUGGUGGGCCUCAACGGAUGUUGGCUCCCCCUACUGGCAGCACACCAUUUAAUCCUGACAUCUACAGGGGGCCGGUGUUAUCAUCUACUCCAGCAGUUCCCUUUCCAGCUUCGCCAUUUCAAUAUUCUGUCAUUCCUUUUGGGACCAAUUUUCAUAUACCAUCAACAACUUUUUCAGGUGGUUCAACAACAUAUGUGGAUUCAUCAUCUGGUGGGAGACUUUGUUUUCCUACAGUGCAAUCUCAAGUAUUAGCACCUUCUGGUGCUGUCCCAUCUCAUUAUCCAAGUCCUUUUGUUGUUAGCCUCCAGGAUAUUAGUAAUAUCAAUGGCUCUGAAAGUAGUAGGAAAUGGGGAAGGCAAGGUCUAGACCUCAAUGCUGGGCCUUUGGGCACAGACUUGGAAGGGAGAGAUGAGACGUCUGCUUUUGCAUCAAGGCAAUUGUCCAUUGCCAGUUCACAGACCAUUGCAGAGGAGCAGUCAAGGAUGUAUCAAGUGCCGGGCAGUGGCAUAUUGAAAAGGAAGGAGCCAGAGGGUGGCUGGGAAGGUUAUAAGCAAUCCUCUUGGCAGUAGAGAUGCGCAAUGGCAAAAUCCAGCAAUCCAUGAAGCCCUGCUCUUGGAUUGAUACUGGCUAACUUCCAGAGGUUGCCAUGGAACUCAUGCUCUUCAAGGAUAGGUGGUAAGUGAGUUGUUUGAUGCCAUUCCAUCAAUCACCCCGCCUUUAUGCCUUAGAGGAAUCUGUCUGGGGUCUGCAAGUUGGUAUGUCCUUGAACUUGUCCUAGGUGGCUGCUGCACUUUCUCCUUUGUAGAUAUGUUAACCGUUGGAAAGCAGCAUGCAUUGUCUGUUGCCCAGACAUUUGGAAUUGGUGCCCAUACUGUACAACAGUGCAUCAACAUGUUAUGCUAUUGGACCCAAAACCUCCUUCCUUUUCCAACGUUUCCAAGAAUGGAGAAUGGGG